This 732-nucleotide ribosomal RNA is filed under the name Triticum aestivum (bread wheat). RNAcentral describes it as "partial small subunit ribosomal RNA". Lineage: Eukaryota; Viridiplantae; Streptophyta; Magnoliopsida; Poales; Poaceae. The record is from RNAcentral.
AUGAAGAGGGCAGGAAAAAUUGCUUCCCUUUUUGCGAGACAUGCUCAGAAGAGAAGGAAGAAAGCUAGUACGCCGGAUGUGCAUGGGACCGCGGAUGUGGCCGAAGAGCAAACCAGAGAAUUUGUGGUUCAAGAGCAAACUCAAGAAACAGUGGUGUCUAUGUCAAAUGUCACGGUUGAGCAAACUCCAGAACCAAUGGUUCGACUUGAAGAUGUCUCAACGCCACCGCCGGUUUAUGAUUUUAGCCGUCUUAAACAUGAUCCCGGGGAAAGGCCACCCAUUGCAAGUUAUCCUGUCAAUGAUCAAGACGCAGUUCGGAGAGCAUAUAUCCUUAAGGCUGCAUUCAAACCUUAUGCACAUAACUUUGAAGCAAGAAUAAUUGGGAAUAGGUUUCGAUCAUUCAGUCCUUUUUGGCUUCAUAAACAUAGUUGGCUUGAAUAUAGUAUCAAGGAGAAAGCUGCAUUUUGCUUUGUAUGCUUCUUGUUCAAAGAGAAAGAAACUAGUGGGAAGGGAACUAAUGCAUUUACUGAUGGUGGUUGGAGAAAUUGGAAUAGAUAUGAUGCUCUUGAUAAGCAUGUUGGUGGUGUAACAAGUGUGCACAAUGCAGCUCAAGAGAAAUAUGACUUAUUUGUGAAUCCCCGUGCAACAAUUAAUGAUCUUCUUGUGAAGGUGGAUAGUGAGGAUCUACGUCUUUAUAGGAUGAGGUUGAAGUAUUCACUUAGAUGCUUGUAG